UCUUAUGUCAGUGACAUCAUAUCCUAUAUGCUGAAAAGUUAUUAAUAUUAUAUAAAACACUGGCAUUUUUUCAUAUUUUAAAGCGAGAUUCUUAUAUUACAGGCCAACAUUUUCUGCUUGAUAAUAAGGGCCCAGGUAAUAGUUGUUUUGUUCUAUUAUCAGCUGUUAAGACCUGGGGUCAGUGCCAUGUGGGGAUUGAUGAAAACCCUUAAAAUCUGCAUAUGCUUUCAGACCCUUUUCCACACAGGUGAAAGUAGAAUAGUUGAAUUGAGCAAAAUGAGCUGUAUCUGUACUGCUUUCCCCUUCUGCUCUUAUCCUUUCUGAACCACUCCCUCUUUCCACCACUAGUUUUCUUUCCUCUCUGCUACCUUUUCUCACCACUAAUACUGAUAUCUUCUUUACCCUUGUCCUCUGAUCUUUUCCACUCUGCUUUCCUCUCAUUAUAUUCUUUCAUUCCAUUUCCUUGUUCAACAUCCUUUUCUUCUCUUCACAAUUUUGCUUUUUUCUGCCUAUUUCAUUAUGCCCCUUCUUUCCAUUUUUUGUUCUGUUGCUCUUUCUGUUACCCCCAUCUAUGUUAUUUUUUUGGCACUCUACUUUUGCACCCUCUUCCUACAUAGCCUGCUCCCACCCAUUUUUAUGGAAAACGUUUCACAGCAUCUGCUUAGGACUGUGUGCAUUUCUGUAAAAUUGAUCUGUGUAGUUGGACUGGGCAGUCAACAGUGGGGUCACAGAUAAAACCCCAGCAGACUACCCAUUCUCACUACAUGGCUCAAUCCUGUAUUUGAACAAGUGCACCUUACUUUUUACCAUACCAACCAGGAGGUUGGGCAGGUGCAGCGGGAAGGUUGAAGCAGGAAUUGUCUCUAAUCCUGCCCCUACGUAUAAAGUGGUUUGUCAUCCCAUACCAAUUUACCAAUAAUUGCAGUGUAGUACUACUGUUGUAUAGAAAAAUAUCAGUACCACUGAUGUAGAUGCUACAAUACCACUGAAAAAGUCAAAGUUAAUUCCAGUUCAAAAGUCUGUCUGAAGUCUCUUGUUCAGUGUCAAGGGGAACUGAGAUCAGUAUGCAUGAACCUAUUGAGGCUAAGCAGCAGUCUCUACAAGGAAGGGGGUUAUUGUGUGUCACAAAAGUAUCACUUUAUUUCCACGUUUGUUUUGCAGACUGCAUUAUUCUUUAUAAAUAACAACCAUUGACUGUGAGAAAAUAUAGAAGAAACAAAUAUGGUAUCAGGUGCCGGCACAGGAUGUUUUUUUGGGGGGGAAUUUUUCCUGUUUCUGGUAAACAUAUGGGAAGCUUUUGUGAGGCAGAUUAGGGGAGGGUGGGAGGGGGGUUCUUGUUUUAUUGUUUGAACACCUGCUCUGCUCCUGAAUCCAGAAGGAAACUCACAUUCCCAUUCCAUUGACAGGAUUCAGACCUGAACGGGAGGGUUUGACGCUGCUGGAUAAAGUGCCUAGCUAUUAACUGCUUCCAAUGUCUAAUUAUUCUGUGAUAACACAAGAGAAGAAAAAAAUUACAAUAACUUCCCCUCCUAAAUAGCUUCCUGCGGGGUUCCUGUGCGUACAGCCCCUCUACACAAUACUUUAUCCAAGCCUUAAGGCAGUGAAUCCACUCUAUUAUUUAUGAGCCAUAGUCAAGAAUGAAUGUUAUUAGAAAACAGAAUUCCUGGCCAACAGUGCCUAUAAAACAAGCCAGGUUUAAAUCUUUCACUAUAACUAAAUAUAUGAUUAAAUCAACAUUUCCUUGUGAAAUGAAAAGCAAAAACAUUCUGCGCUGUAAAAAUACAAUCUAUACAGUUUAGCAUGAAAUCUAAACAUGCUGUAAUUACAUGUAUCUGUACUGUCUUGCAGCUAGAAUUGGAGUGUCAAUAUAGAAAAACAAUACAUUGAUUGCAUUUUACUGCCAGAGGGGAUCAGGUACCCAUACAUGAAAGUGCAGAAACCAUUUAUACAGGGGCAAUAAACCCGAGGAAUUGAUCAGAGAAGCAGCUCAGAACGUGACAGCGUCCUGUAAAAUGGGCCGUGACUGUUGAUGGCUAUGGGGAUACUAUUCUUUAAUAAGCACGGGAUGUCCUACUGGGGACCAGCCAAUAAAAAACCUUUGAUUUCUGUGGAUGGCGUCUCUACUGGCAUUACACAAAAACAUCUCUUGUAACUCUGGAGCCAGCAGACUGACUCCUAAUUUGUUCAAAUGAUUUACUUACAGACAGACUCUCUGCAAAAUGACUCACUGUUGUGUCCAUUAGAUUGCACAUGCCUGAGAAACCUGGCCUCUCCUGUGACACUCAGUCCCAUUGUCAUUUAGAUACACAGUGUAUGGGGGCUUCCGACGGGUCUUCCCGAUCGAUAUCUGGCCACGAUAUCGAUAGGGAAGGUUGGAUUUUUGACCGACCCGUCGGAGCCCCUUGGCGCAUCAGAAUUCGAUUGUUCGGCCAUACGGCCGAACGUUCGAAUUACCCCCGAUAUAGCCAUGCCGUUAGUGGCAUAUCGGGGAAAGAUGUCGCCAAACGAGCGGAUCUUUGAGUCUAUGGCCACCUUAAAGCUCACAGAGUCAUUCAGCAUAUCUCUACCUAUGAUGAUGCUUAAAGAGUAUUCUUGGAGACUUUCAAAGUCAAAAACAUCUUCAGUUCUUCCCUCCGAAACUAGCUUUAAAGCAGUUAGGGUGGGUAAGUUGUGUUGACUGAAACGGCUAGAUUAAUCUUUGGUAUAUAUUCCUUGCCAACAGUGGAAUUUAGUUUCCUUGGUAUUGUAUAUACUGUAUAUACACUCUAUAUUUAUGAUCCAGAGAACAUUGUAGCCUCUUCUGUCACAUCAAUAUAGUAACUUUAUGAAAAUUCCUAUUUGAUAGAUGGUGCUCUUUACACAAGAGGAUGGGAAAGCCCCUCACACACAAACCCUACAUUCCCUAUGACAACACAAGGGUCUAAUUCCAAAUUAUAGGCAACAUUUCUGGGACAGGUUUGUGUAACUUUGAAAGAAUAAUAGCCAAAGCUCUUUACUGACCAUGUCCCAAAGGCUUUCUUAUCAGAUGGUAACCUGACCCACGCAGUGCCUUAUUAAAUUAUCAUCAUUAGGAACUUUUCACCAAGCUAAAGCCUGGUUUUAGAUCAAGUUCUCAAGGCAUCUCCUAUGUUACCUCCAGGGAUUCAACUCUGCUCCAGUGGUUUGUACAGCCCAAGAUCAGAACAUAAGGGGCUUUGUAUUAGACGCAGAUACUAAAGCACAAACUGGAAGUGUCAGAUUCAAUUAACUCUGCAGAACUGUGCCAUAUACUGAUUGCAGUGGAGUCCUAACCUAUGGCAGUCUACUUGAUAAACUAUAACUUGCAGAUACCCAGAGGGUUAGUAUUGUUGUUUUUGGAUGCAAUGUACUGAAAUACUAAAUGACUUUAAAUACUG
This is a long non-coding RNA of Xenopus laevis (African clawed frog), 3395 nucleotides long. RefSeq lists it as uncharacterized. The transcript has 2 exons. The record is from RefSeq and is a predicted model, not a curated record. Lineage: Eukaryota; Metazoa; Chordata; Amphibia; Anura; Pipidae.